Molecule: long non-coding RNA, 1233 nt
Organism: Helianthus annuus (common sunflower)
Lineage: Eukaryota; Viridiplantae; Streptophyta; Magnoliopsida; Asterales; Asteraceae
Exons: 2
Source: RefSeq, a predicted model, not a curated record
AGAAAACCCUAGUGGGCGAAUUAUCAAAAGAAGAAAUCUGCCAUACAUAUAUAUUAUUAGUUUGUGGGUUUCAUAAGAAAAAAAAGCAUAUCGUUAGACGGCAGUUUUGGAAAGAAAGUUGCAUAUUAUUUUGAGGGGUGAUUUUGGGCUGGGCCUUUGUUGUUCAACGAAAGAAAGGAAAACAUAUUGAUAUAUACUAUUAAUUCAUAACAUAACCGAGGAACAGGAAAUUAACGAUAACGGCGUCAGAUGAACGGUGCCAGAAAUUACAAUUUCGCCAUGUCACCAUUCGAACCCCGUGAAUCGUCGGCGAUGGUCUGCAGGAAGUCGGAUAACCCAUCUAGGGUUCGUCUUCACCCCUGCCGGAUCUGGUACACGCAACACCAAUGAAGUGGUUAAGCUGGAAACCCAAGGCCACCAGAACUUCAUCGACUGUCAGAGUAGCAUACGACCAUUGAUCGCCGCUCAUUGCCGCUGCCGGAGCCAUGGCAGGGGUUUAAUCUUCGCCGGCCAGCCUCCAUUGUAGGUGAUCUUAACUUGGAAGUCAUAACAGUAGCGCGCCAGCAGACUAUAGUCACUGCAUAAACCGCCGGAUUCGGGCCGCCUUGGUGGCGGCGCUAUUUCAACGUAAAACCCUACCUGCCGCCUACUCGAAGAUGUUGGUGGCUUGCUGCAUGGUCCCGACGAAGCUACAAGGGUUCCGAUGGUCACGGUGAUGUUGUGGUCAUGGUUAUCGGCCGCGACGAUGGUGUUCCGGCGAAAAAGGUUAGACCCGAUCUGGUGGCAACGCGGACCGCCGGCCAUGGUGUUUUAUGGUGAGACUUAAGUUUGAACUAGCUUAAGAACAAUUGAUCAUAACUUACUUUUCUGGUUAUUAUAAGAAGGCGGCAACUAUUGACGAAAGAUAUAUCACGGCUGGAACACAGAGGGACGGAAGCAACAUCAAAUCAGGGGCGGCCAUUAAUAAUCUGGGACAAAUACUUUUGAGCAGCCGGACAUCAUCUAGAGACAGCGGGACUAAUUUUGGAGAAGGUGUUUAGCAAAGAUCAAGGCCACGGAAUCGUUGGGUUGAAGCAAGAAGCUUGGAGAACAAGGAAUAACCGGGUUUUGUCAUUCGGUUUCUUUUAUUUUCUAAGUCUUUUGUUUUAAUUCCAUGAAUUCAUUAUUUGAACUUUGUUUGAUUAUUUUUGAGACUUUGUUCGUAAUGAUUAUUGGCUAGACUCCUUGUUACUA